RNAcentral lists this ribosomal RNA (339 nucleotides) under Triticum aestivum (bread wheat). Its description in RNAcentral is "partial small subunit ribosomal RNA". The record is from RNAcentral. Lineage: Eukaryota; Viridiplantae; Streptophyta; Magnoliopsida; Poales; Poaceae.
AUGGCCACACCGCUCAUAGCUGGACUUGCUGUGGCAGCCACUGCUCUUGCGGGUAGAUAUGGCAUCCAGGCUUGGCAAGCUUACAAGGCAAGGCCCAUAGUUCCAAGGAUGCGUAAAUUCUAUGAAGGUGGCUUUCAAGCUACAAUGACCAAACGGGAAGCUGGUCUAAUCUUGGGUAUCAGGGAAAAUGUCCGUCCUGAUAAGGUGAAAGAGGCACACAAGAGGGUCAUGGUUGCCAAUCACCCAGAUGCAGGAGGAAGCCAUUACCUUGCGUCGAAGAUCAACGAGGCAAAAGAUGUUUUGCUGGGGAAAACUAAAGGAGGUGGUUCAGCCUUUUGA